This is a non-coding RNA of Amborella trichopoda, 1591 nucleotides long. NCBI's taxonomy places the organism in Eukaryota, Viridiplantae, Streptophyta, Magnoliopsida, Amborellales, Amborellaceae. The record is from RefSeq and is a predicted model, not a curated record.
AUGAAAGUGCAGAGAAUUGGUGUGCCCUAUUUGGGUCACCAUAUGAGAAAUGUGGCUUCCUCUAAAGAGAGAUGCAUGACCUCCUCUACAUUGGUAAGGCCUCCCCUAGAGAGAAGAUAGUUUCCUAUGGAGAAAAACAUCACGGAUGUGUCUCUUUUAGAUUGAAAAGUUGGUUUUUUGUAAAGAACCAGUUCCCAUGAAGGUUUUGGGUGGUUUUUCCUUUUAGCAAGAGAGUUUUGGUUACUCUCAAGGUUCUCAUCUUAGACAGUGGUUUAGUUGUGAAAUAGAUAUGAUUUCUUCCUGUACAAUGCUUUAGCUGUGUAAUGGAGAUAUGAGAGAUCGAUAGUGGUGCCUAUUAGGAGAACAUGUUUAAAAGGGUUUGCUCAACUGAGUUUUGUUGAGGAUUAAAGACGUAACUCUCUGUCCCAAAAUCUAUGAUGUAACUUUCAUUGGAUAUAACGAAUUUCAGUUUCCUGUGCCUGUACAUGUAGCCCCUUUUGGUGAACCACGUAAAUCUUUGUGUUCUUAUAGCAUGUGUGUUUCAUGCCUAAUUUCCCGUAUUAUGGUUUGUGCUCUCUCUUAUUUUGUUUCUAGCUAGAUAAGUAAACGAUCUUGAUGGGAUCAACUUUCGGAUUCUUGUUUCCGCAUCUAAGAGGGUUCUUAAAGGAAAUAAAAAUCCAAAAGAUUAGGACUUUGGGAUACAUAUUUUGAUUCUUGAGAUAUAUGUAACAUCUUUAGGAAGUUUCUUGUUUAAUAUGGAUUCCUAACCUUAUAUAUAUGAGAUGACAGUGAGAAUUGAUGUGCCCUAUUUGCGUCACCAUAUGAAAAAUGUGGCUUCCUUUAGAGAGAGAGAGGCAUGGGCCUCCUAUAUAUGAGAGGUAAGGUCUCAUCUUAAAGAGAAGAUUCCUAUGAAGAAAAACUCCACGCUGUGCCUUCGAUAAAUUGAGAGGUUGGUUUCUUGUAAAGAAACGAUUCCCAUGAAGAUUUUGAGUGAUUUCUCUUUUUAGUGAGAGAAAGUCUAUGUUGCUCUCAAGGUCCUUCUCCUGUACAGUGGUUUAGCUAUGGAAUGGAGAUGAUCUCUUCUUGGACAGUGGUUUAGCUGUGGAAUAGAGAUUACAUGUCGACGAUUUUCCCGAUCAAGAGACUGGGUUUUGUCGAGGGUUAGAGCGAGAAUUCACGUGCCCUAUUUCGAUCAUCAUAUGAGAAAUGUGGUUUCCUCUAGAGAGAGAGAGGCAAGGGGCUCCUGUGCAUGAGAGGCAAAGCUUCUCCUUAGAGAGAAGAGAGCUUCCUAUGGAGAGAAACUAAAUGUAGAUUGAGAUGCUGGUUUUUUGUAGAGAAGUGUUCCUCUGAAGAUUUUUUGUGGUUUCCCCUUUUAGUGAGAAAAAGCCUUGGUUGUUCUUAAGGUUAUCCUCCAGGACAGUGGUUUAGUUGUGGAAUAGAGAUGAGACGUCGACGAUGGUGUCGAUCGGGAGCCUGGGUUUAAAAGGGUUUACUCGACUGAAUUUUGUAGAGGGUUAUAGAGGCAACUCUAUAUCCCAAAAUCUGUAAUGUAACUUUAUUGGAAUAGUGGAUUUCAGUUUGUUGUGCCCGU